RNAcentral lists this ribosomal RNA (1411 nucleotides) under metagenome. Its description in RNAcentral is "bacterial LSU rRNA". It matches the Rfam family "Bacterial large subunit ribosomal RNA", at positions 725 to 2138 of the family's 2925-position model. The record is from RNAcentral.
UUGAUCUACCCAUGGGCAGGAUGAAGCUGUGGUAACACACAGUGGAGGUCCGAACCGGUUGACGUUGAAAAGUCUUCGGAUGACCUGUGGGUAGGGGUGAAAGGCCAAUCAAACUCGGAAAUAGCUCGUACUCCCCGAAAUGCAUUUAGGUGCAGCGUUGGUCAUAAAGUUAUAUAGAGGUAGAGCUACUGAUUGGAUGCGGGGGCUUCACCGCCUACCAAUUCCUGACAAACUCCGAAUGCUAUAUAAUGUUUACCAGCAGUGAGGGCUUGGGUGCUAAGGUCCAAGUCCGAGAGGGAAAGAACCCAGACCAUCAGCUAAGGUCCCAAAUAUAUGUUAAGUUGAAAGAACGAGGUUUGUCUGCCCAGACAGCUAGGAUGUUGGCUUGGAAGCAGCCAUUCAUUUAAAGAGUGCGUAACAGCUCACUAGUCGAGCGGACGAGCAUGGAUAAUAAUCGGGCAUAAACAUAUUACCGAAGCUAUGGAUUUUGCAUUUAUUUGCAAAGUGGUAGGGGAGCAUUCUAACAGGGUAGAAGGUGUGUUGUAAAGCAUGCUGGACUGGUUAGAAAAGAAAAUGUAGGCAUAAGUAACGAUAAUGCGGGCGAGAAACCCGCACACCGAAAGACUAAGGUUUCCACAGCUAUGCUAAUCAGCUGUGGGUUAGUCGGGACCUAAGGCGAACCCGAAAGGGACAGUCGAUGGACAACGGGUUAAUAUUCCCGUACUAGUUAUAAUUGUGAUGGGGUGACGGAGUGAUGAAAGUGUCGCGAACUGACGGAAUAGUUCGUUGAAGUACCUACCUAUAGGCUGCGCAGGCAAAUCCACGCGGCUUGGGGAAAUACGAUAGUACUCGGAGGCUUCGGCCAAAGAGAUAGUACACCUAAGGGCUUCCAAGAAAAACCUCUAAACUUCAGAUUAUAAGUACCCGUACCGCAAACCGACACAGGUAGUCGAGGAGAGAAUCCUAAGGUGCUCGAGAGAUUCAUGGCUAAGGAAUUAGGCAAAAUAGACCCGUAACUUCGGGAGAAGGGUCGCCCCGAGUAAUCGGGGCCGCAGUGAAGAGGUCCAGGCGACUGUUUAUCAAAAACACAGGGCUCUGCAAAAUCGUAAGAUGAAGUAUAGGGCCUGACACCUGCCCGGUGCUGGAAGGUUAAGAGGAGAUGUUAUCUUCGGAGAAGCAUUGAAUUGAAGCCCCAGUAAACGGCGGCCGUAACUAUAACGGUCCUAAGGUAGCGAAAUUCCUUGUCGGGUAAGUUCCGACCUGCACGAAUGGUGUAACGAUCUGGACACUGUCUCAGCCAUGAGCUCGGUGAAAUUGUAGUAACGGUGAAGAUGCCGUUUACCCGCAGUGGGACGAAAAGACCCUGUGCACCUUUACUAUAGCUUAGUAUUGACCUUGGAUAAAUGAUGUG